AGUGAACGCUGGCGGUAGGCCUAACACAUGCAAGUCGAACGGCAGCACAGUAAGAGCUUGCUCUUACGGGUGGCGAGUGGCGGACGGGUGAGGAAUACAUCGGAAUCUACUUUUUCGUGGGGGAUAACGUAGGGAAACUUACGCUAAUACCGCAUACGACCUACGGGUGAAAGCAGGGGAUCUUCGGACCUUGCGCGAUUGAAUGAGCCGAUGUCGGAUUAGCUAGUAGGCGGGGUAAAGGCCCACCAAGGCGACGAUCCGUAGCUGGUCUGAGAGGAUGAUCAGCCACACUGGAACUGAGACACGGUCCAGACUCCUACGGGAGGCAGCAGUGGGGAAUAUUGGACAAUGGGCGCAAGCCUGAUCCAGCCAUACCGCGUGGGUGAAGAAGGCCUUCGGGUUGUAAAGCCCUUUUGUUGGGAAAGAAAAGCAGCAGGUUAAUACCCUGCUGUUCUGACGGUACCCAAAGAAUAAGCACCGGCUAACUUCGUG
RNAcentral lists this ribosomal RNA (492 nucleotides) under uncultured bacterium. RNAcentral's name for it is "partial 16S ribosomal RNA". It matches the Rfam family "Bacterial small subunit ribosomal RNA", at positions 29 to 507 of the family's 1533-position model. The record is from RNAcentral.